GCCUUUGUGGUAUAAUUGAAAAGCGCGUCCGAUUGGCAAUCGGAAGAUCCGGGGUUCGAGUCCCUACAGUGCA
Molecule: transfer RNA, 73 nt
Filed under: Stegodyphus mimosarum
Lineage: Eukaryota; Metazoa; Arthropoda; Arachnida; Araneae; Eresidae
Rfam family: tRNA
About the family: Transfer RNA (tRNA) molecules are approximately 80 nucleotides in length. Their secondary structure includes four short double-helical elements and three loops (D, anti-codon, and T loops).
Source: Rfam by way of RNAcentral